GACGAACGCUGGCGGCGUGCUUUACACAUGCAAGUCGAACGGUGAAGGUGGAGCUUGCUCCGCUGGAUCAGUGGCGAACGGGUGAGUAACACGUGGGCAACCUGCCCCUAACUUUGGGAUAACUACUCGAAAGAGUAGCUAAUACCGGAUAUGAAGUCUGUAGGCAUCUACGGACUUGGAACGUUUUUCGGUUAGGGAUGGGCCCGCGGCCUAUCAGCUUGUUGGGGAGGUAGUGGCUCACCAAGGCGACGACGGGUAGCCGGCCUGAGAGGGCGACCGGCCACACUGGGACUGAGACACGGCCCAGACUCCUACGGGAGGCAGCAGUGGGGAAUAUUGCGCAAUGGGCGAAAGCCUGACGCAGCAACGCCGCGCGCGGGAUGAAGGCCUUCGGGUUGUAAACCGCUUUCAGCAGGGAAGAAGCGAAAGUGACGGUACCUGCAGAAGAAGCACCGGCUAACUACGUGCCAGCCGCCGCCGUAA
Molecule: ribosomal RNA, 483 nt
Filed under: uncultured bacterium
Lineage: Bacteria
Description: partial 16S ribosomal RNA
Rfam family: Bacterial small subunit ribosomal RNA
Source: RNAcentral